This 509-nucleotide ribosomal RNA is filed under the name uncultured bacterium. RNAcentral describes it as "bacterial SSU rRNA". It matches the Rfam family "Bacterial small subunit ribosomal RNA", at positions 36 to 518 of the family's 1533-position model. The record is from RNAcentral.
CUGGCGGCGUGCCUAAUACAUGCAAGUCGAACGGUCUUUCUAUGGAAGCUUGCUUCCACUGAGAAGAUAGUGGCGAACGGGUGAGUAACACGUGGGUAACCUGCCCAUAAGAGGGGGAUAACAUCCGGAAACGGGUGCUAAUACCGCAUAGUUUUCUUGAUUGCAUGAUUGAGGAAGGAAAGACGGCCUUUGUGCUGUCGCUUAUGGAUGGACCCGCGGCGUAUUAGUUAGUUGGUGAGGUAACGGCUCACCAAGACGAUGAUACGUAGCCGACCUGAGAGGGUGAUCGGCCACAUUGGGACUGAGACACGGCCCAAACUCCUACGGGAGGCAGCAGUAGGGAAUCUUCCGCAAUGGACGAAAGUCUGACGGAGCAACGCCGCGUGAGUGAAGAAAGGUUUUCGGAUCGUAAAACUCUGUUGUCAGAGAAGAACAAGUUGGAGAGUAACUGCUCCAGCCUUGACGGUAUCUGACCAGAAAGCCACGGCUAACUACGUGCCAGCCGCUGC